AGUGAACGCUGGCGGUAGGCCUAACACAUGCAAGUCGAACGGCAGCACAGUAAGAGCUUGCUCUUACGGGUGGCGAGUGGCGGACGGGUGAGGAAUACAUCGGAAUCUACUUUUUCGUGGGGGAUAACGUAGGGAAACUUACGCUAAUACCGCAUACGACCUACGGGUGAAAGCAGGGGAUCUUCGGACCUUGCGCGAUUGAAUGAGCCGAUGUCGGAUUAGCUAGUUGGCGGGGUAAAGGCCCACCAAGGCGACGAUCCGUAGCUGGUCUGAGAGGAUGAUCAGCCACACUGGAACUGAGACACGGUCCAGACUCCUACGAUAGCCAGCAGUAGGGAAUAUUCAACAAUUCUCUCAAGCCUGAUCCAACCAUACCGCGUAAUUGAAGAAGGCCUUCGGAUUGUAAAACCCUUUUAUUAGGAAAGAAAAACAGCAUAUUAAUACCCCGCUGUUCUGACGGUACCCAAAGAAUAAGCACCGGCUAACUUCGUG
This 492-nucleotide ribosomal RNA is filed under the name uncultured bacterium. Its description in RNAcentral is "partial 16S ribosomal RNA". It matches the Rfam family "Bacterial small subunit ribosomal RNA", at positions 29 to 507 of the family's 1533-position model. The record is from RNAcentral.